RNAcentral lists this ribosomal RNA (451 nucleotides) under uncultured cyanobacterium. RNAcentral's name for it is "bacterial SSU rRNA". It matches the Rfam family "Bacterial small subunit ribosomal RNA", at positions 28 to 524 of the family's 1533-position model. The record is from RNAcentral. Lineage: Bacteria; Bacillati; Cyanobacteriota.
GAUGAAUGCUGGCGGUAUGCUUAACACAUGCAAGUCGAACGGUACCUUCGGGUAUAGUGGCGGACGGGUGAGUAACGCGUGAGAAUCUGUCUUCAGGUCGGGGACAACAGUUAGAAAUGACUGCUAAUACCGGAUGUGCCGAAAGGUAAAAGAUUUAUUGCCUGAAGUUGAGCUCGCGUCAGAUUAGCUAGUAGGUGGUGUAAGAGACUACCUAGGCGACGAUCUGUAGCUGGUCUGAGAGGACGAUCAGCCACACUGGAACUGAGACACGGUCCAGACUCCUACGGGAGGCAGCAGUGGGGGAAUUUUCCGCAAUGGGCGAAAGCCUGACGGAGCAAUACCGCGUGAGGGACGAAGGCUUUUGGGUCGUAAACCUCUUUUAUUAGGGAAGAUUUCAGGACGGUACCUAAUGAAUAAGCAUCGGCUAACUCUGUGCCAGCAGCCGCGUAAU